RNAcentral lists this ribosomal RNA (449 nucleotides) under uncultured bacterium. RNAcentral describes it as "bacterial SSU rRNA". It matches the Rfam family "Bacterial small subunit ribosomal RNA", at positions 330 to 794 of the family's 1533-position model. The record is from RNAcentral.
ACCAGACUCCUACGGGAGGCAGCAGUGGGGAAUAUUGGGCAAUGGGCGCAAGCCUGACCCAGCAACGCCGCGUGAAGGAAGAAGGCUUUCGGGUUGUAAACUUCUUUUGUCAGGGACGAAGCAAGUGACGGUACCUGACGAAUAAGCCACGGCUAACUACGUGCCAGCAGCCGCGGUAAUACGGAGGAUGCGAGCGUUAUCCGGAUUUAUUGGGUUUAAAGGGUGCGUAGGCGGAAUGCCAAGUCAGCGGUAAAAUCGCGGGGCUCAGCCUCGCUCCGCCGUUGAAACUGGCGUUCUUGAGUGGGCGAGAAGUAUGCGGAAUGCGUGGUGUAGCGGUGAAAUGCAUAGAUAUCACGCAGAACUCCGAUUGCGAAGGCAGCAUACCGGCGCCCGACUGACGCUGAGGCACGAAAGCGUGGGGAUCGAACAGGAUUAGAUACCCUCGUAAG